Molecule: long non-coding RNA, 876 nt
Organism: Carcharodon carcharias (great white shark)
Lineage: Eukaryota; Metazoa; Chordata; Chondrichthyes; Lamniformes; Lamnidae
Exons: 3
Source: RefSeq, a predicted model, not a curated record
CUUUGUGGCUUUUUGACAGUUUGAUAGUCAGCGGGAUCUCCUUUAAUAAAUACGGACAAUGUUGGAAAUACGCAGCUGAAUAGCCAGCGCGGGUGAAGAGAAAUUAAAUGAAAGUGAAUUUAGAUUUCCAGCAUCCACAGUGUUUUGCUUUUAUCAAAACAGCUCCUACUUGCUGUGGAUUCAGAAACUCAUUGCAAACUGGUCCCAGUUACAAAUGAUUUCAAACUAGAAAGGGCAAUGGAUCAGCUCAGAAAAUAUGUUAUACACCACAUUACUGUGGGUUUGGAGUCACAUCUAAGCCAGACCAGGGCAGGUACAUUACCUCGGAUUUCAUAAAACCACAAUUGCUUCAUUAAAACUUCUAAUUAUGAUCGUUAAACUUUUUCAACACUUCAUUUGAAGAUUCUCUUCUGCUGUUAUCACCACAAUCAACACGAUAUCCUGAUUGCACAAGCAAUGCGGUACUCCUUGCAAAAUUUUAUCCAUCGUAUCUUGAAGACUUUUGAAGAGGACUUCAAACUUAGGGAGUUACCAUAUGUGUGUGUUUAUCGUGUGAUACUGUUGACUCUCUUGAACCACAUCAAACUCUGCAUAAGCGUGAGACAAAUCCAACUUUAUGAAGAUUUUCCACCCUGCUAACUCCGCAUACAAAUCUUGGCAUGUUGGUUAUGGAUACUGCUCAUCAUACACUGCCUAGUUAAUAUGGCUUUGUAAUCUCCACGUAGUCUUAACAGUUUUAUCUGAUUUGGGUACUACCAUGAUGAUGGUUGCCCAAUCACUAUGAUCAGUUUUCAAUAGCACACCAUUUCUCUCUAGCUCCAAUAGUUCCUCUUCUGCCUAGGUUUUGAGAGUGUAAGUAACCAGGCUAGUCUUGCA